Molecule: ribosomal RNA, 388 nt
Filed under: uncultured bacterium
Lineage: Bacteria
Description: bacterial SSU rRNA
Rfam family: Bacterial small subunit ribosomal RNA
Source: RNAcentral
GACGAACGCUGGCGGCGUGCUUAACACAUGCAAGUCGAGCGGUAAGGCCCUUUCGGGGGUACACGAGCGGCGAACGGGUGAGUAACACGUGGGUGACCUGCCCUCAGCUCUGGGAUAAGCCUGGGAAACCGGGUCUAAUACUGGAUAUGACUCCAUGACGCAUGUUGUGGGGUGGAAAGCCUUGUGCGGCUGAGGAUGGGCCCGCGGCCUAUCAGCUUGUUGGUGGGGUGANGGCCUACCAAGGCGACGACGGGUAGCCGGCCUGAGAGGGCGACCGGCCACACUGGGACUGAGACACGGCCCAGACUCCUACGGGAGGCAGCAGUGGGGAAUCUUGCGCAAUGGGCGAAAGCCUGACGCAGCGACGCCACGUGAGGGAUGACGGCCU